This 258-nucleotide ribosomal RNA is filed under the name uncultured bacterium. Its description in RNAcentral is "partial 16S ribosomal RNA". It matches the Rfam family "Bacterial small subunit ribosomal RNA", at positions 524 to 777 of the family's 1533-position model. The record is from RNAcentral.
UACAGAGGGUGCAAGCGUUGUUCGGAAUUAUUGGGCGUAAAGGGCGCGUAGGCGGUGCGGUAAGUCUGUAGUGAAAUCUCUGGGCUCAACUCAGAGUCUGCUGCAGAAACUGCCGUGCUUGAGUGUGGGAGAGGUGAGUGGAAUUCCUGGUGUAGCGGUGAAAUGCGCAGAUAUCGGGAGGAACACCAGUAGCGGAAGGCGGACACUCUGGGCCGGUACUGGACGCUGAGGAGCGAAAGCGAUGGGGAGCAAACAGGG